Molecule: non-coding RNA, 84 nt
Organism: Gossypium arboreum
Lineage: Eukaryota; Viridiplantae; Streptophyta; Magnoliopsida; Malvales; Malvaceae
Source: Rfam
GUCGAUAUCUCCGAGUGGUUAACGAGACAGACUUGAAAUCUGUGGGGCUUCGUCCGCGCAGGUUCUCGAACCCUGCUGUCGACG